GGGACUACAGGGGUUUCUAAUCCCGUUCGCUACCCUGGCUUUCGUGCCUCAGCGUCAGACAAGCCCCAGUGCACCGCUUUCGCUUCUGGUGUUCCUUCCAAUAUCAACACAUUUCACCGCUCCACUGGAAGUUCCGUGCACCCCUAGCUCACUCAAGCCGGCCGGUUUCAAGCGCAGUUCCACGGUUGAGCCGUGGGAUUUCACACCUGACCUGGUCGGCCGCCUACGCACCCUGUAAGCCCAGUGAUUCCGAAUAACGUUUGCGCAGUUCGUAUUACCGCGGCUGCUGGCACG
Molecule: unclassified non-coding RNA, 294 nt
Filed under: uncultured fungus
Lineage: Eukaryota; Fungi
Description: sequence contains ITS1
Source: RNAcentral